CAACCGAGAUUCCCCCAGUAGCGGCGAGCGAACGGGGAGCAGCCCAGAGCCUGAAUCAGUGUGUGUGUUAGUGGAAGCGUCUGGAAAGGCGCGCGAUACAGGGUGACAGCCCCGUACACAAAAAUGCACAUGCUGUGAGCUCGAUGAGUAGGGCGGGACACGUGGUAUCCUGUCUGAAUAUGGGGGGACCAUCCUCCAAGGCUAAAUACUCCUGACUGACCGAUAGUGAACCAGUACCGCGAGGGAAAGGCGAAAAGAACCCCGGCGAGGGGAGUGAAAAAGAACCUGAAACCGUGUACGUACAAGCAGUGGGAGCCUCUUUAUGGGGUGACUGCGUACCUUUUGUAUAAUGGGUCAGCGACUUAUAU
This 368-nucleotide ribosomal RNA is filed under the name Escherichia coli. RNAcentral describes it as "bacterial LSU rRNA". It matches the Rfam family "Bacterial large subunit ribosomal RNA", at positions 226 to 633 of the family's 2925-position model. Lineage: Bacteria; Pseudomonadati; Pseudomonadota; Gammaproteobacteria; Enterobacterales; Enterobacteriaceae. The record is from RNAcentral.